RNAcentral lists this long non-coding RNA (1248 nucleotides) under Oryctolagus cuniculus (rabbit). RNAcentral's name for it is "lncRNA (ENSOCUG00000034258.1)". The record is from RNAcentral. Lineage: Eukaryota; Metazoa; Chordata; Mammalia; Lagomorpha; Leporidae.
AUGCCCCGCAGGGUGUCUGUCUGUCUCUCCGGACACUUCCCCGGACACUUUGUGGUCCAGAGGAGUCUCUUGUCCAAGUGCCGCGGUCAGUGUGUUUGCUUCCCUCCGAGGCACCAGCCACGCUCCGCCUGGCAUUCGCAGCUGCUCCACCUCUCUGGGUGGCUCCCGGUCCCACCCAGACCUGCAAGUUGGUCUCCUGUCAGUGUUUUCUGUGCCCUCCUACCACUGCUAUUUAGCAAUUCACAUUCCUGUUUAAGACCCAGCUCAGGGGCCCGGGACCCAGCCUGGCCCAGGGCUGGCGGACUCCAUGAUGCCAAGGCCAUGAGGAACAAGUGCAGGAGAGGGUGGGAGAGUGGAGUGGAGUCAGGGGGCAGAAUGAGGAACAGCAGGAGGGAAGAACAGCCCCCGGGGGACCGAGCCACUAUCACAUCUUCCCCUCACCCCUGCAGGUGCAGGGCUCCUCUGGGUGUGGGAUGCCCUUGGCCUACCAUUCCCACCAGGGAGCCCCCAAAAGCCAUGUCCCACCUAUGUCUCUGCCCCCUCCCCCUGAACCUCAGAGCUCUCAGCUGCCAUGCCUUAUGGCUUGCACAGCAUAUCACCCGGUUCAGCCAGUUCUUACAUUCCUGGGCCUCCUCCCCACCGGCUCUGUAUCCUGAAGACACCCCUCUCCAUUGGAACCAUGUGAUAAGAAACACAAGCUACUUCCCCAGGCUCAACCCCGGGUGCCUUGAAUCUGUUAUUUCAUUUGCUCCCUCUAAUAAUCUCAUGAAGAAAGAGAGCCUUGCCCCCAUUUUACAGAUGAAAAAACUAAGGCUCAUAAAGGUUAAAGCACAUCCCCAAGUUUCCACAGGUGGGACCCAAACCCAGCUCUCUGCACAGUGCUCCUCUUCACAAGCUGCCUUAUCUGGGAUCCCCUGUAGUAACCAGAAGGAGCUGGUAUCUGGACAGCUACCUCCUGCAGGGACACGCCAGGGCAGGCUCAAGCCCUGGGGGGCUGCAUUGCGAAGCUUGUACCACAGACUCCCUCCAGUCCCCUCCAGGACCUUCCACCUCCCCCGCUCCCCUGCCAGGGGGCUCUGGUUCUGGAAGGAGCUGCCGCUUUCCCAAUCCCUUCCUCUCCCUUCUCCAGGGCGCUGGAUCCAUUUGCUCACAGCACACACAGCUCCCUGCCUGGAGGGGAAGUUUCCUCUCUCCCGAGGGGCCACCAGGCAGGGAGCUGCAGAAGGGGCGCCUUUGGGGGCCGUCUGA